UACGUAGGGGGCAAGCGUUGUCCGGAUUUAUUGGGCGUAAAGAGCGUGUAGGCGGCCAUACAGGUCAGCUGUGAAAACUCGAGGCUCAACCUCGAGACGUCGGUUGAAACCGUAUGGCUAGAGUCCGGAAGAGGAGAGUGGAAUUCCCGGUGUAGCGGUGAAAUGCGCAGAUAUCGGGAAGAACACCGGUGGCGAAGGCGCCCAUCUGGACGGUAACUGACGCUGAGACGCGAAAGCGUGGGGAGCAAACAGG
This 253-nucleotide ribosomal RNA is filed under the name uncultured bacterium. RNAcentral's name for it is "partial 16S ribosomal RNA". It matches the Rfam family "Bacterial small subunit ribosomal RNA", at positions 524 to 776 of the family's 1533-position model. The record is from RNAcentral.